AGGGAUGUAGUGCAGCUUGGUAGCGCCCUUGUUUUGGGUAAAAAAUGUCACGGGUUCAAAUCAUGUCAUCCCUA
RNAcentral lists this transfer RNA (74 nucleotides) under Ricinus communis (castor bean). It matches the Rfam family "tRNA". From Rfam's summary of the family: Transfer RNA (tRNA) molecules are approximately 80 nucleotides in length. Their secondary structure includes four short double-helical elements and three loops (D, anti-codon, and T loops). The record is from Rfam by way of RNAcentral. Lineage: Eukaryota; Viridiplantae; Streptophyta; Magnoliopsida; Malpighiales; Euphorbiaceae.